This 387-nucleotide long non-coding RNA is filed under the name Pan troglodytes (chimpanzee). RNAcentral's name for it is "lincRNA". The record is from RNAcentral. Lineage: Eukaryota; Metazoa; Chordata; Mammalia; Primates; Hominidae.
UGAGUUUGAGCUCCUGGGCGGAGAUUUUUGUUGCCUUGUAACUGGGAUUCCUAGAUCCAGCCUCCACCCUCUGAUUGCCCUAAGGAGGUUUUGGGGUUUUGUUUUGUUUUGUUUGUGUUUUUGUAGGAUGGUGGCAGUGAUUUUGAGGAGGGGAAGAGGAAGGAAGAUACAAGCAAGGGAAGUCACAGGCUGUGGUGCCUAGGCAGACCCUGGUUUGAAUCUUGGCCUUACCACUUUUUGCAUGUAAGUGGUAGGGGCAGCAGAUAGCUCAGGACAUAUCUUGGGUUUUUUUGUUUUUGUUUUGAGACAUAGUCUCACUCUGUUGCAGUGAGCCGAGAUGGCACCACUGCACUCCAGCCUGGGUAACAGAGCAAGACUCUGUCUUAA